RNAcentral lists this long non-coding RNA (515 nucleotides) under Helianthus annuus (common sunflower). Lineage: Eukaryota; Viridiplantae; Streptophyta; Magnoliopsida; Asterales; Asteraceae. The record is from RNAcentral.
ACAGCCAAAAGGAGCGGAAACGAGCAGAAAUCUGGAAAGGCGGAAGGCUGGCACGGAAACCGAGGAAGUCGGGAGCUGAAACGAAGAAAAAUUACAGUUCUGGAGCUCCCAGGCGGGCCGCUUAGACUUAACAGGCAUCCUCACGCGCCCCGCAUGGACUUAAAGGAGAAAUAGAGGAAUAACUAUCUCUCGCGCCCCGCGUGAACAUAAUCAGAGAUCUUAGGCGGGCCGCGAGAGACUUGUUGUGACAACCCGGACUUUUAAGGGUAGUAUUGCUUAACUUCGUACUUCUGAUGUCUCAUUAUUUCUCGUUCACAUUCUGGUUAUAUUAAAUGUGUUGUCAUACAUUGUACGAUAAACUUGUCAAGGGUAGCGUACUUGGGUCAACUUGGAUGUUUAGCGAGUUUAGGAACCGUUCUUGUUUUGGGCCACCCAACUCAUCUUUUAUCGUUAGUUUCAUUGAAACCCCAAAGGGGUAAUUAAUAUAAAUAUGGGAUCGGCCCAUAUGGUUUGAC